AACGUAGGAGACAAACGUUAUCCGGAGUUACUGGGCGUAAAGGGCGUGUAGGUGGUUAUGUAAGUCUGGCGUGAAAUUUUUCGGCUUAACCGGGAAAGGUCGUCGGAUACUGCAAGACUAGAGGACGGUAGAGGCGUGUGGAAUUCCGGGUGUAGUGGUGAAAUGCGUAGAGAUCCGGAGGAACACCAGUGGCGAAGGCGGCUUCCUGGACCGGUUCUGACACUGAGGAGCGAAAGCGUGGGGAGCGAUCCGG
This 253-nucleotide ribosomal RNA is filed under the name uncultured bacterium. Its description in RNAcentral is "partial 16S ribosomal RNA". It matches the Rfam family "Bacterial small subunit ribosomal RNA", at positions 524 to 776 of the family's 1533-position model. The record is from RNAcentral.